This 465-nucleotide ribosomal RNA is filed under the name Vreelandella stevensii. Its description in RNAcentral is "partial 16S ribosomal RNA". It matches the Rfam family "Bacterial small subunit ribosomal RNA", at positions 338 to 795 of the family's 1533-position model. The record is from RNAcentral. Lineage: Bacteria; Pseudomonadati; Pseudomonadota; Gammaproteobacteria; Oceanospirillales; Halomonadaceae.
CCUACGGGUGGCUGCAGUGGGGAAUAUUGGACAAUGGGGGGAACCCUGAUCCAGCCAUGCCGCGUGUGUGAAGAAGGCCCUCGGGUUUUAAAGCACUUUCAGUGAGGAAGAACGCCUGGUGGUUAAUACCCAUCAGGAAAGACAUCACUCACAGAAGAAGCACCGGCUAACUCCGUGCCAGCAGCCGCGGUAAUACGGAGGGUGCGAGCGUUAAUCGGAAUUACUGGGCGUAAAGCGCGCGUAGGUGGCUUGAUAAGCCGGUUGUGAAAGCCCCGGGCUCAACCUGGGAACGGCAUCCGGAACUGUCAAGCUAGAGUGCAGGAGAGGAAGGUAGAAUUCCCGGUGUAGCGGUGAAAUGCGUAGAGAUCGGGAGGAAUACCAGUGGCGAAGGCGGCCUUCUGGACUGACACUGACACUGAGGUGCGAAAGCGUGGGUAGCAAACAGGAUUAGAUACCCCGGUAGUC